Molecule: ribosomal RNA, 301 nt
Filed under: uncultured bacterium
Lineage: Bacteria
Description: partial 16S ribosomal RNA
Rfam family: Bacterial small subunit ribosomal RNA
Source: RNAcentral
CAGUCGCCACGGUAACACGGAGGGUGCAAACGUUAAUCGGAAUUACUGGGCGUAAAGCGCACGCAGGCGGUCUGACAAGUCAGAUGUGAAAUCCCCGGGCUUAACCUGGGAACUGCAUUUGAAACUGUCAGGCUGGAGUCUUGUAGAGGGGGGUGGAAUUCCAGGUGUAGCGGUGAAAUGCGUAGAGAUCUGGAGGAAUACCGGUGGCGAAGGCGGCCCCCUGGACAAAGACUGACGCUCAGGUGCGAAAGCGUGGGGAGCAAACAGGAUUAGAUACCCCGGUAGUCCCUGUCUCUUAUAC